Molecule: ribosomal RNA, 460 nt
Filed under: uncultured bacterium
Lineage: Bacteria
Description: partial 16S ribosomal RNA
Rfam family: Bacterial small subunit ribosomal RNA
Source: RNAcentral
CCUACGGGCGGCAGCAGUGAGGAAUAUUGGUCAAUGGACGCAAGCCUGAACCAGCCAUGCCGCGUGCAGGAAGACGGCCCUAUGAGUUGUAAACUGCUUUUGUAAGAGGGUAAACGCAGAUACGCGUACCUGUCUGAAAGUACUGUAUGAAUAAGGAUCGGCUAACUCCGUGCCAGCAGCCGCGGUAAUACGGAGGAUUCAAGCGUUAUCCGGAUUUAUUGGGUUUAAAGGGUGCGUAGGUGGUCGGAUAAGUUAGAGGUGAAAUCCCGAGGCUCAACUUCGGAAUUGCCUCUGAUACUGUUCGGCUAGAGAGUAGUUGCGGUAGGCGGAAUGUAUGGUGUAGCGGUGAAAUGCUUAGAGAUCAUACAGAACACCGAUUGCGAAGGCAGCUUACCAAGCUACUUCUGACGUUGAGGCACGAAAGCGUGGGGAGCAAACAGGAUUAGAUACCCCAGUAGUC